Molecule: long non-coding RNA, 323 nt
Organism: Eurytemora carolleeae
Lineage: Eukaryota; Metazoa; Arthropoda; Copepoda; Calanoida; Temoridae
Exons: 5
Source: RefSeq, a predicted model, not a curated record
AUUUAGGAUCAACAUUUGCAACUAUUGAAUCUGAACAAUAAAAAGGAAAAAAAUGGGAUUCGAAAGAAAAAUGGUAUAGAAACUCGUCAGGAUCAGAUAAAGAGGCAGAGUAUAAGCCCAGCAUCAGGUUUAUUGACUAUUCUAGUCUUUUUAGUAGUUAAAGCUAUUGGAUGGGGAGUUUGGGCAACUUUAGCUUUUGUUUCAAAUCCUGGAUAAUAUGCAAAAACAUGCAAAGUGGCUGGGGAGGAAAACUCAAUCUUCAAACAAAUUAUUUUUAAUUUGGUUUCUGGUAAAUGUAGAGAAAUAAAUGUUUUUUAAUUUUC